AUACGUAGGGGGCGAGCGUUGUCCGGAAUGAUUGGGCGUAAAGGGCGCGUAGGCGGCUUUGCAAGUCAGUAGUGGAAGUCCAUUUUUCAAGGAUGGAAGUGCUACAGAAACUGCGGAGCUUGAGUGCAGGAGAGGUUAUCGGAAUUCCCGGUGUAGCGGUGAAGUGCGUAGAGAUCGGGAGGAACACCAGUGGCGAAGGCGGGUAACUGGACUGCAACUGACGCUGAGGCGCGAAAGUGUGGGGAGCAAACAGGAUUAGAUACCCUGGUAGUCCACACUGUAAACGAUGAAUGCUAGGUGUAGGAGGUAUCGACCCCUUCUGUGCCGCAGUAAACACAGUAAGCAUUCCGCCUGGGGAGUACGGUCGCAAGAUUAAAACUCAAAGGAAUUGACGGGG
Molecule: ribosomal RNA, 397 nt
Filed under: uncultured bacterium
Lineage: Bacteria
Description: partial 16S ribosomal RNA
Rfam family: Bacterial small subunit ribosomal RNA
Source: RNAcentral